This 318-nucleotide unclassified non-coding RNA is filed under the name Hevea brasiliensis (rubber tree). Lineage: Eukaryota; Viridiplantae; Streptophyta; Magnoliopsida; Malpighiales; Euphorbiaceae. The record is from RNAcentral.
AGACGGGCCUGCAAGAAAAGCUUGUUCUUUUUGUUUUCAAAGGCACCAGAUAUAUUCAGAACUUACAUGGAUGAACUAAGGGAUUCAAGGAUCACUUACAAGGAUUGUCCUGAGUUUAUACUCUUGAUGCUAGAAUUUUCAAGUGAAAAUCCACCUUCAUUUGAUCAAUGGAAGCAAAAUUUUCUUGAGAUGUAUGUUAAAGCUGUUCUAAAUGCAAGAGAAAAGCCACCAAAGGGCCUCAGUGAUGCUUUCGUUCCAUUAUUUUCUCGUUUGACACAUGAAGAUUUUAAGAACACUGUCAUUCCCUCAUCUGUCAAG